RNAcentral lists this transfer RNA (85 nucleotides) under Felis catus (domestic cat). It matches the Rfam family "tRNA". Rfam says of the family: Transfer RNA (tRNA) molecules are approximately 80 nucleotides in length. Lineage: Eukaryota; Metazoa; Chordata; Mammalia; Carnivora; Felidae. RNAcentral also lists the same sequence under 3 other names. The record is from Rfam by way of RNAcentral.
GCCUGAGUGGCUCAGUUCAUUGAGUGUCUGACUUUGGCUCAGGUCAUGAUCUCAGGGUUCAUGAGUUCAAGCCCCACCUCAGGCU